Long non-coding RNA from Spea bombifrons (plains spadefoot toad), 200 nucleotides. RefSeq lists it as uncharacterized. The record is from RefSeq and is a predicted model, not a curated record. NCBI's taxonomy places the organism in Eukaryota, Metazoa, Chordata, Amphibia, Anura, Pelobatidae. The transcript is spliced from 3 exons.
AGCAAGCAGCUGCGGAGAAGAGAUGGAGACGACCCCAGAGACGGCCACCGGGACAGAAAGGCUGCCUCGGAAAUUGGACUUCCAGCUGAUGGAGGGUCCUCUGGAGAAAAAGCACACCCUGCAGCCCGGGGGCAAAAAGGCCACCAGCCGUACCUGGAGCUGGUAUCACGCGGUGCUGGUGAGACGGACCCUCUGCUUCU